UCAGACGAUGCGUCAUGCAUAUCAAUAAGCGGAGGAAAAGAAACUAACAAGGAUUCCCCUAGUAACGGCGAGUGAAGCGGGAAGAGCUCAAAUUUGAAAUCUUAAAGGGUUUCCCUUUACGAAUUGUAGUUUAAAGAAGUGUUUUCUGUUGAGGUUUUGGUAAAAGUUCUUUGGAAUAGGACAUCAUAGAGGGUGAGAAUCCCGUAUUUGACCUUUACUUUCAACUUUGUGAUACACUUUCAAAGAGUCGGAUUGUUUGGGAAUGCAGUCCAAAAUGGGUGGUAAAUUUCAUCUAAAGCUAAAUAUUGGCGAGAGACCGAUAGCGAACAAGUACCGUGAGGGAAAGAUGAAAAGAACUUUGAAAAGAGAGUUAAACAGUACGUGAAAUUGUCAAAGGGGAAGCGUUUGACACCAGUGUUGUUUUUCUGAAAAUCAAUUAAAGAACUGUUUAUGCUAAGUUGUUUAGACUUUAUCAGCUAACUGUUUAGUUUUGAGCUUUUCUUUAAUGCACUUUUCAGUUAACAAGUCAACAUCAAUUUCUUUUGCUGUAAAAAAGCUUGAGGAAGGUGGCUUGAGAUUCGUCUUAAGUGUUUAUAGCCUCUUGCCUAUGCAGUCGGAGAGAUUGAGGUCUGCAGCGUAGAUCCUUCGGGGCUAAAUGCAUUUGUGCUAAGUUAUAGCAUUUUAUGGACAACUUGUUGACUAUGAUUUGUCUUGUAGCUUACUCGCUUAUGUUAUUUUACCUACGCUUAGGAUGUUGAAUCUGUGCGAGACUAC
RNAcentral lists this ribosomal RNA (774 nucleotides) under uncultured Neocallimastigales. RNAcentral's name for it is "partial large subunit ribosomal RNA". It matches the Rfam family "Eukaryotic large subunit ribosomal RNA", at positions 18 to 644 of the family's 3401-position model. The record is from RNAcentral. Lineage: Eukaryota; Fungi; Neocallimastigomycota; Neocallimastigomycetes; Neocallimastigales.